AUACGUAGGGGGCGAGCGUUGUCCGGAAUGAUUGGGCGUAAAGGGCGCGUAGGCGGCCCGGUAAGUCUGGAGUGAAAGUCCUGUUUUUAAGAUGGGAAUCGCUUUGGAUACUGUCGGGCUUGAGUGCAGGAGAGGUAAGUGGAAUUCCCAGUGUAGCGGUGAAAUGCGUAGAGAUUGGGAGGAACACCAGUGGCGAAGGCGAAUUACUGGACUGUAACUGACGCUGAGGCGCGAAAGUGUGGGGAGCAAACAGGAUUAGAUACCCUGGUAGUCCACACUGUAAACGAUGAAUGCUAGGUGUAGGGGGUAUCGACCCCUUCUGUGCCGCAGUCAACACAAUAAGCAUUCCGCCUGGGGAGUACGGCCGCAAGGUUGAAACUCAAAUGAAUUGACGGGG
RNAcentral lists this ribosomal RNA (397 nucleotides) under uncultured bacterium. RNAcentral describes it as "partial 16S ribosomal RNA". It matches the Rfam family "Bacterial small subunit ribosomal RNA", at positions 523 to 918 of the family's 1533-position model. The record is from RNAcentral.